AAGGCAGUAGCUCAGCGGUAGAGCACUAGAUUGAAAAGUAUUGAAAUUACCCGAUGGGUCAAUCAAGACUUACUUCUCAAUGGGUUCUAGGGGUCGCUGGUUCGAAUCCAGCCUGCCUUC
Molecule: transfer RNA, 120 nt
Filed under: Xanthocytophaga agilis
Lineage: Bacteria; Pseudomonadati; Bacteroidota; Cytophagia; Cytophagales; Rhodocytophagaceae
Description: tRNA-OTHER
Rfam family: tRNA
About the family: Transfer RNA (tRNA) molecules are approximately 80 nucleotides in length. Their secondary structure includes four short double-helical elements and three loops (D, anti-codon, and T loops).
Source: RNAcentral